Molecule: non-coding RNA, 45 nt
Filed under: Schistosoma margrebowiei
Lineage: Eukaryota; Metazoa; Platyhelminthes; Trematoda; Strigeidida; Schistosomatidae
Source: RNAcentral
ACUCAGCUGAAGAAUCUCAAAUAGGACGAAACGUGCGUCCUUAAU